CGGACGGGUGAGUAACGCGUGAGCAACCUGCCUUUCAAAGCGGGAUAACACAGGGAAACUUGUGCUAAUACCGCAUGACGUACAGACUUCGCAUGGAGAUUGUACCAAAAGGGAAACCUGAUGAAAGAUGGGCUCGCGUCUGAUUAGAUAGUUGGUGGGGUAACGGCUCACCAAGUCGACGAUCAGUAGCCGGACUGAGAGGUCGAACGGCCACAUUGGAACUGAGAUACGGUCCAGACUCCUACGGGAGGCAGCAG
RNAcentral lists this ribosomal RNA (257 nucleotides) under uncultured bacterium. RNAcentral's name for it is "partial 16S ribosomal RNA". It matches the Rfam family "Bacterial small subunit ribosomal RNA", at positions 99 to 354 of the family's 1533-position model. The record is from RNAcentral.